This 2464-nucleotide long non-coding RNA is filed under the name Camponotus floridanus (Florida carpenter ant). RNAcentral describes it as "uncharacterized LOC112637595". The record is from RNAcentral. Lineage: Eukaryota; Metazoa; Arthropoda; Insecta; Hymenoptera; Formicidae.
AUUUAUUUCCUUCUACUUUAUCAUAUAAUUAAAAAAAUGUAUAUAUAAUUAUAUAUUAAAAUAAAAUAAACAGUGUUAAAGGUCCUCUAAAUUAACAAAUCAAAGUGAGUAGUGAAAGGCAGUAAAGAGCCAACACAAUUGUAGGGCGUAGAUAAAAUAAUUUCCAAGACAGCAAUUCAAUUUUAAUUUUAACGAUCCUUUCGCUUUAUUCUAUACGUUUCGGACUCAAUUCGAGCCUUCUUCAGUAAUUCUGAUAAAAACAAAGAAAAAAAAUAUAUCAAAUAAGAAUACAGUAAAAACGCAAUAUCAGUAAAAUACAAGAGAGAGAAGAAAGCAUAGUCACAUGCAUGCAUGGUCUGUAGGAGCGACGCGACUUCGUCAGAGCUGAUCCAUCCGAGAAAGCCCGAUACAAGAAGCCCUCUCAGCGGCACAAAGCUCGAAAAGCGAUGCACUAACAAAAUAAAUAUAAGAUACAAAAUCUAGUCACAAGACUUAAAAAUAGAAAUUCAUUAACGUUAGUCAAAAGCCAUUCACUCGGACAAGAGACAGACCAGCAGAAACGACACGAAUAAUCAACACGCUAACAGUCGAAUAGGCCUAUAAUUCAAAUGGCAACGGUAAUGAUGUCAUAAUGUGGUCGGCAAUAACAAACUAUAUACAAAGAGGACAAAGCCAGUCAAAUAGAAAACAACCCGUUAAAUCUUAGGCAUGUUUUCAAUUAUCGACAGACACGAAGUAUUCAAUUUUAAAGUAUCGCUUUGGAGGUUCAACGCAUUCUUUUGGCGCUUAAUAUAAAUCAUUUCAGAUAUUAGUCUUUUUCCUAAAAACAUUUCCUCGUCCAAAACUCAACAUCAUCGAAAUCAAAAGUGUGAUUAAACGCUCUAUGUUCGGCAAUGACGGACGUAAGAUUCCUUCUAUGACUGAUGGCAGAAGAAGGGCACGAUUAUUGGUUUAAUAGAUAAAGUUUUCUGGCUUUCUCAUCCUAAAUUUCACAAAGAAAAUCUCGAAUUUAUUGUUAACAUUCUUCUGAACAAUGGAUAUCCGUUCUCUCUUUUCUUCCACACAAUUGCCGAUCGGCUUAAUAUCCUAUUUCAUAGAUUUAAUAACAAACAUGAUAACGUUUUGAAUGAUGAUGAGAGUGUGAUUGAUGAUGAGAGAGAUGGAAGUAAGAUUGCAUAUUUUAAUGUUCCAUAUAUGAGGAACAUAUCAGAACGCUUCCGAUACUGCGUCAGAGAUCUUGAUGUUAGGCUUUCUUACACCGGAAUAAACAAUUUGCACAGAUUUAUUAAAGUUGGUAAGGACGGUUUACAGAAGGAUUUGCGUAGCAAUAUAGUGUAUAAAAUUAAUUGCACGGAUUGCGACGCCUCUUACGUAGGACAAACAGGUCGCUUGUUAAGGACAAGGAUUAAAGAACAUAGGCUGAUGGCAGAGAACUAGACGUGAGCGCUUACGUCUGUCGUAGUCGUGGAAGUAAGACAGAGACAAACCGUAUAUCGUAAAGACCAUUGUGAAUGCGGAAAGUGUAUCGUGAACGAGAAAAUUUACCUUUUUCACAACCGCUAUUAAGAGUAAUAUAAAAAAAUGUCUGAUCAUUUAAAUUACUGCAAUACUAUUGCUGAUUUGCCUGAUAAAAUCAGUACAGAUGACUGGGAUAAUGGUUGUGAAUCUGCAUCUAUUGAUAUUGACGAAAAGAGUGCGAUGAGUUUCUCAUUGAAUUAUAUAGAGAACGUCCAUUUUUAUAUAAUAAAAGUAAUACCAAUUUUAAGGAUAGUUUGAUGAAGCAAAAUGCUUGGGAUGAAAUAUCCAAAAUAAUGACUAAAACUAAUGGUGACAUGUACACUCCUUCAUAUUGUUAAAAAAGAUGCAUCUCCUUAAGAGACCAAUACAACAGAGAAAAAAGGAAAGCUGAAAUGGAAUGUAAAAGUGGAAGUGCUGUGGCUAAAGCUACUCGAUUUCCUUUUUUUUCACAAUUAGUAUUCCUAGAUCACGUCAUUAAAAGACGAAGAAGCUACACUAAUUGUGUAAAAUCUCAUUUAAGUAUAGUUGAUGAAAAUAGUAUUUGUGAAUCACAAAGUGCUACAAAUGAAUCAAGCAAUGAAGAAAAUGAAAAUGUAUAUAAGCACUUAUAAUAUUAAAAAUUUUAAGAAAGAAAAUGAGCCAUCAAAAAUAGAAAAACGAAAAGUUAAUGAAACAAAGGAAUUAGAACAAACAUUAGUGCAAAUGAGUCAUAGAAUUUCAAAUUAUAUGGAAACGAAGGUUUCAACAGCUGAUGAUGCUUUCAUGAAAUUUAUAAAAGUGCAAUUUAACAAUAUUCCAGAACAGGAAAAAAAUAUAAGAAGAAAAAUGAUUAUGAAUGCCCUGAUUAUACCAUUAUCAGAAAAACUCCAUCAAAAUGGUUGUAAAUGCAAUGCUCUUUUCAAGAAAUUGCUAAUAAGGAUAUUUUCACAUUAAAUAAUAAAUCCAC